UUGUUCUAAAUACUUCCUUUUUCACAAUAUAAGUCAUUCUAGCAUUUCCCACAUUCAUAUUGAUGUUAAUGAAUCUAGAUUGAUGUUACAUCAAUAUGAAUGUGAGAAAUGUUAGAAUGACUUACAUUGUGAAACGGAGGGAGUAGUUGCAA
This 152-nucleotide microRNA precursor is filed under the name Oryza sativa Japonica Group (Japanese rice). RNAcentral describes it as "osa-MIR809b". The record is from RNAcentral. Lineage: Eukaryota; Viridiplantae; Streptophyta; Magnoliopsida; Poales; Poaceae.